RNAcentral lists this non-coding RNA (45 nucleotides) under Schistosoma haematobium. Lineage: Eukaryota; Metazoa; Platyhelminthes; Trematoda; Strigeidida; Schistosomatidae. The record is from RNAcentral.
AUCCGGCUGACGAGUCCUAAAUAGGACGAAAAGCGCGUCCUGGAU